AAUAGAUACCCCGGUAGUCCACGCCGUAAACUAUGGAUGCUAGCUGUAAGAAGUAUCGACCCUUCUUGUAGCGAAGCUAACGCGUUAAGCAUCCCGCCUGUGGAGUACGGUCGCAAGACUAAAACAUAAAGGAAUUGACGGGGACCCGCACAAGCGGUGGAGCGUGUUGUUUAAUUCGAUGGUAAGCGAAGAACCUUACCCAGGCUUGACAUCCUUGGAAGGCCUCCGAAAGGAGACUGUGUCUUCGGAAACCAAGUGACAGGUGAUGCAUGGCCGUCGUCAGCUCGUGUCGUGAGAUGUUUGGUUAAGUCCAUCAACGAGCGCAACCCUUAUGAAUAGUUGUAUUUUUCUAUUCAGACUGCCCUGGCAACAGGGAGAAGGGGGGAUGAUGUCAGGUCAGUAUUCCCUUACGUCUGGGGCUACAAACACGCUACAAUGGCCGGUACAAAGGGCAGCCAACCCGCGAGGGGAGCAAAUCCCAUCAAAGCCGGUCUCAGUUCGGAUAGCAGGCUGAAACUCGCCUGCUUGAAGUCGGAAUCGC
This 541-nucleotide ribosomal RNA is filed under the name uncultured bacterium. RNAcentral describes it as "bacterial SSU rRNA". It matches the Rfam family "Bacterial small subunit ribosomal RNA", at positions 777 to 1335 of the family's 1533-position model. The record is from RNAcentral.